Molecule: long non-coding RNA, 1607 nt
Organism: Mustela erminea (ermine)
Lineage: Eukaryota; Metazoa; Chordata; Mammalia; Carnivora; Mustelidae
Exons: 3
Source: RefSeq, a predicted model, not a curated record
AGGCAGGGCCCCUCGGCCCAGUCACUCUCCUUCUAGGUUGUACAGCCAAGGAAGCUAGGGUGGCAAAGUCUGUUGAUUAGCAGCUGGGACCGAUUCCCCCCCACACACACCCAGUGCCACCUGCCCUAGCUGCCCACAGAAGGGUCCCUGGGAGGAGCCCCAGGGCUGCCUGCUAGAGUCUGGGGGAUUUCCAAAACUUUCCCAUCAAUUUGAGAAGAAACAUGCUCACCUAGAUAAGAGGAAAAGGGACAGGCAGUGGGGAAAACUCCCACCUGAUGGGAACCAAGCCAGCAGGCUCAGGACCCAAUGGGAACUGGGUAUAGGAAGUCCUUGGGGGGUGAACAGGUCCAAUGACAGCAAGUCUGGCACCAGGUCCACUAAGGGGGCUGCGCAUGGCACCCAGACCUACCCCAGCUUGCUAUCCCUUGCUUCUCUCGCCUGGCUUCCCCUGCUGUAAGGAGUCCCCAUCUUUGCCUGUCUUCCCCUGGGGGAGAAUGCAGCUGGCCUUGCAUUGUGGUCUGGGGCGGGCCUGCUGCAGCCACAGCCUCAAGACAGACUUGGACAAGAGGAGAACCUGAGAGCAAUGCGGACCUGGUGUCGGAGCCCAGCACAGAGCACUCCUCCCCCAACGCCAGCAAGCCUGCCCCAUCAGGGGCCUCGCUCACCCUACCAGGCUCCCAGCCCCGGAACCCCUCCCCAUCCCAGCCAGCGGGUCCCUGCUACCCUGAUGGCUGCUGACCAGGCACUUGGCAGUGCCCCUGCAUGCUGGGCGCCCUGCCCGGCAGCCCUCCCCAAGCAACCUCAGCCUGACCCACGGCAGCUUUGCUAACUAAGCCGCUGGGGUGGGGGUCAUGGCCCCCGGGGCAGCAGCACGAGGCAGAGCUGGCCCUGGGAGAGAUCAGUCCCUUUGUGGGUAGAUCUACGCAGGUCCUGGGGAGGCUGCCAAGGGGCCAACCCUGACACGGUGGUGCCCCUCUGAGUCAAUAAGCACCCCCUAACUCCCUCGCCUCACCCUCCCUGCCUGCUUUUCCCAUCACAUUCCUGCCUGCUGUUUGUGGGCACCAGUAUGCCUGCACUGGACCAAAAUCAGCAAUACUAGGAACAACACUGGGGACUCAAGCAUGGAGACUCCACGAGGUUUUGCCAGCACAGCACCCAUGGCCCAGCACCUGGGACAGGGCCAACAAGCACCACAGGUGGCAGGAAGGCCCUCCAGCUGCCGUGGGCACAGGUGGGAUGGCUGUGGCCAUCCGGUUCUGGAUGCGUCAGAGGCUGAGGACUCCCCCCAACCCUGCCCAUUUACUAAAUGCUUGAGGUCAGCUCCGCAGCGUGGGAGGGCGGUGCACUUGGCCCGACCUGCCAGCACAGCCCGGUGCCUCAAACGUUCCAUGGCGCGCUUGUUCUCCGCCCAGCUGUCCACAUCCCGGAGAGGCUGCACCGUCCAUCCACAGAUGUCAACCGUGCAUCCUGUCGCCCACUCACCAUCUCUUGUGCUGUAGACACUCCUAUGGCAAGGAACAGCUGACAGCUUUGUUCAACAAGAUGCCCGGCCUCGGGGCGCCUGGGUGGCUCAAUGGGGUUGGACCUCUGCCUUCGGCUGGGGUCAU